RNAcentral lists this ribosomal RNA (478 nucleotides) under uncultured bacterium. RNAcentral's name for it is "partial 16S ribosomal RNA". It matches the Rfam family "Bacterial small subunit ribosomal RNA", at positions 28 to 523 of the family's 1533-position model. The record is from RNAcentral.
GACGAACGCUGGCGGCGUGCUUAACACAUGCAAGUCGAACGGUAAGGCCCUUCGGGGUACACGAGCGGCGAACGGGUGAGUAACACGUGGGUGAUCUGCCCUGCACUUCGGGAUAAGCCUGGGAAACUGGGUCUAAUACCGGAUAGGACUCCGGACUGCAUGGUCUGGGGUGGAAAGCUUUUGCGGUGUGGGAUGGGCCCGCGGCCUAUCAGCUUGUUGGUGGGGUGAUGGCCUACCAAGGCGACGACGGGUAGCCGGCCUGAGCGGGUGACCGGCCACACUGGGACUGAGAUACGGCCCAGACUCCUACGGGAGGCAGCAGUGGGGAAUAUUGCACAAUGGGCGCAAGCCUGAUGCAGCGACGCCGCGUGAGGGAUGACGGCCUUCGGGUUGUAAACCUCUUUCAGCAUCGACGAAGCGAAAGUGACGGUAGGUGCAGAAGAAGGACCGGCCAACUACGUGCCAGCCGCCGCAGUAA